AUUUGCAAAUGAACACAACUCUUCUGAUCAAUUAUGAUGACACUAAAUUGAUAUGCAAUCAAAUGUUCAUUACUGAGAUGUUCAAUAUUAGUUUAAUGGACAAACCAACAAAUGACUUCAAGAGCCAAGGAUAGAGUAAGAGUGAAAAAUUACAACUCAGAGUUGAACUGCAAAAUGGCAUCCUUUUGUGAACCAAACCAAAAUAACAAACAAAAAAACAAACAAACGAACUCAUCACCCAACUCCAUCAUCUCAUGCACACAUUGGCCCAAGAGGUGGUGGACAGUACCAUGGAAAAGAAAAAGAGAUAUCACAAGAAUGUAAAGAGGAAGGAGAGCUAUCAAAUUGUGCAUGAAGUAUCAAAUCACCAAUACAAAAAUGCAUUGAUGUUGCAGUGAAGUAAUCAGACCCUUCUGUCAAGUGAAAUCAAGGGGCUCUUGUGCGCCCCUCAUAGGGGAGGGAUGAGUGCCAUGGAAGGAUUGGAGCGAGCCUUCAUGGCCUUUGAGGCUAUUAGAAAACCACCCACCUUAACAAGGAGGUUGAAUGCGCAAAGGCCAUGAUGGUGGCUUCCAAUUCAUAUGCGAUGGAGGGACAACAACAAGGACCUGGACGCAGAUGAGUCAUGUCGCUCAGAUUCUUCAUAUCAUGCAAAGAAUGUUGCGAUGUGAUGCAAGGUUCGAUGAUUGGCAGAUGUGAUAGAUCCAUCCCUAUUGCUUGCUCUCUCUCACACUCGCUCUCACUCUCUCUCACACUUGCUCUCGCUCUCUCUUGCUUUAACUCGCUUGCUUGUCUUCUUACGUCACCCCAUGGAAAGGAUGAAUGUGCAUCAAAGUCUUACACUCACAUCAUUCAUUUCUUUGUUGAAGGGCUGCAUUCCUAGGUCAAUCACUAUAUUUGCCUACUUAUUGUAUGUGUGUAUGAAUGAAUGAAUGCAUGAAUGAAUCUAGAAUAAUAAUCAUAAUCAUAAUUUUAUCUUCAAGGACUAGCCUCAAGUUCAUAUCGUCAUUCCUUAGGUGAUAAAUGAAUUUUUAUGGCUUUUUUCUGGUUGCUUCAACUACUGUACUUUCUCUACUAUUUGUGCUUUGUUUAUUUAUUUAUUUAUUUAUUUUUGAGUGUAUGUAUACAUCCAUCCUUAACACUUUCUUUACUUCUGCUGCAAAGUUGGUGAAGCAUAUGUAUUCAGUUCCCUUGCUUCUGUAUGCAAAGAUGAAGUGAAUUGUCGUCCAUUUUCUCAAAAUGGAAUGGAUUGAGAGAGAGGAUGGUCUCCCAAGAAUCCUCUGCAACACAACCAACAAAUGAGACCCAAGUUUUACACAUGUGCAUGUUUAGCUGUAAGUAUGUACGUAUGUAAUCGAAAAGGAAGGAGUGGAAAUGUAAGUGUUUGCAAAGCAGAUGAUCAUCAUGCAAGCCUUGCUAACUUCACUCUGGAUUGUGGGUGGCUUGCCAAAACCCUAAUUGUGUCUGUUGCCAUCACCCCCACCAAGGCUUGAGAUCUGGUUGUUGGGAAGGAAGGAGGAGAACUCUUACUUUUUUUAUCUCAAAUUUAGUGCAACAUGUGAUUGUAAAAGUUUAUUUUCACUUCGUAUCUAUUUGAAGUUGUACUUUGUUUGAGCAAUGCUCGAAGGGAGAAUAAUUCCAUGCAGCACCCCAAGGAAUGAUUCCAGAGAAGUGACAGGGUUUCCAAGGGAAUGCAUCAGAGAGUUGACAUAUGGGCAGCAGGUGGUUUGUUACUGCAGAGUGUGGAAAACAGGAAGCAUGUGAGAGAUGGUGGUGAACAAGUAGCGCAGGUGUUUGUGGCCCUAGUUUGGAUUGGAAACUGGCUUGAGAAGCAGCUUGACAACAUCGUGCACUAGCUCGAGCACAUGUGACACCCCCCCCCCGUCCUGAACGAUUUGAGGAGUCAUGAAUCUGUGGCAUUUUGCCGGCUCAGCAAUCAAUAUUGAGUUUAAGUUGGCGACAACAUGCACCUAGUCAGCUGUGCCUGCUCAAGCUAUGAAGAUGAUGGACCCAUCCUCGUGACAACUACUCCCUCGACGUAGCAUUGCACGAGGCGGCGAUAACCCUACUAUCGAGUCGAGGAAAUAGGUGGCUAAAGUAGAAAUCGCUCAAUAUGACUGCACCAGAUAAACUCAGAUUAGGUACGUUUUCAGUGACUGAGUUUUGCUCCCUGCUCACAAUGUUUGGUGAGAAAUGAAAGAUGAUCCUCUUGGACGCGCAGGUCGAGGGCGACAUGCUGAAUAGGGCUAACUCGUAACCAGUGUUAGAAAUUUGCUGAAGAGGCGGGAGUACCUUCAAAGUGUCCACCUCACAUAGAUUUCGAAUUAGCAAAGGUCCAUGUACAUCCACAGAGCAUAUCCGAGAUUACUCCUUUCAGCAUGUUUUCAUUACGUGGCCUGUUGAUUAAUUAGAUUGGUAGCGAAGUGAGGACAUUUCAGUGAAAAUUUGUUUCAUGGGCAGAUUCAAUCCUAUUACAAAUUGCCAAGGACUGCAAA
Physcomitrium patens is the source of this 2492-nucleotide non-coding RNA. The record is from RefSeq and is a predicted model, not a curated record. NCBI's taxonomy places the organism in Eukaryota, Viridiplantae, Streptophyta, Bryopsida, Funariales, Funariaceae.